GGGAUAAGCGGAAGAAAUUCCGUCUAAUACCGCGUAAUAACUCCGAGAGGCAUCUCCUGGGGUUUAAAGGGUAACACCGGCUACGGAUGGCCAUGCGGCGCAUUAGCUAGUUGGCGGGGUAACGGCCCACCAAGGCGACGAUGCGUAGGGGUUCUGAGAGGAAGGUCCCCCACACUGGUACUGAGACACGGACCAGACUCCUACGGGAGGCAGCAGUGAGGAAUAUUGGUCAAUGGGCGCGAGCCUGAACCAGCCAAGUCGCGUGAGGGAAGACGGUCCUAUGGAUUGUAAACCUCUUUUGUCGGGGAGCAAAAGACGCCACGCGUGGCGUUCCGAGAGUACCCGAAGAAAAAGCAUCGGCUAACUCCGUGCCAGCAGCCGCGGUAAUACGGAGGAUGCGAGCGUUAUCCGGAUUUAUUGGGUUUAAAGGGUGCGCAGGCGGAAGAUCAAGUCAGCGGUAAAAUUGAGAGGCUCAACCUCUUCGAGCCGUUGAAACUGGUUUUCUUGAGUGAGCGAGAAGUAUGCGGAAUGCGUGGUGUAGCGGUGAAAUGCAUAGAUAUCACGCAGAACUCCGAUUGCGAAGGCAGCAUACCGGCGCUCAACUGACGCUCAUGCACGAAAGUGUGGGUAUCGAACAGGAUUAGAUACCCUGGUAGUCCACACAGUAAACGAUGAAUACUAAUUGUUCGGG
This 691-nucleotide ribosomal RNA is filed under the name uncultured bacterium. RNAcentral's name for it is "bacterial SSU rRNA". It matches the Rfam family "Bacterial small subunit ribosomal RNA", at positions 140 to 828 of the family's 1533-position model. The record is from RNAcentral.